GGCCUGAGGCAGCGCGCCCGCGUGAGCGAGAAGGUCUUCGGAUCGUAAAGCUCUGUUGUCAGGGAAGAACAAGCGCACGGUAACUGGCUGCGCCCUGCCGGUACCUUACUGCAAAGCCACGGCUUAAUACGUGCCAGCAGCCGCGGUAAUUA
RNAcentral lists this ribosomal RNA (152 nucleotides) under uncultured Bacillus sp. Its description in RNAcentral is "partial 16S ribosomal RNA". It matches the Rfam family "Bacterial small subunit ribosomal RNA", at positions 380 to 525 of the family's 1533-position model. Lineage: Bacteria; Bacillati; Bacillota; Bacilli; Caryophanales; Bacillaceae. The record is from RNAcentral.